Molecule: ribosomal RNA, 446 nt
Filed under: uncultured bacterium
Lineage: Bacteria
Description: partial 16S ribosomal RNA
Rfam family: Bacterial small subunit ribosomal RNA
Source: RNAcentral
CCUACGGGUGGCUGCAGUCGAGAAUCAUUCACAAUGGGGGAAACCCUGAUGGUGCGACGCCGCGUGGGGGAAUGAAGGUCUUCGGAUUGUAAACCCCUGUCAUGUGGGAGCAAAUUAAAAAGAUAGUACCACAAGAGGAAGAGACGGCUAACUCUGUGCAAGCAGCCGCGGUAAUACAGAGGUCUCAAGCGUUGUUCGGAAUCACUGGGCGUAAAGCGUGCGUAGGCUGUUUCGUAAGUCGUGUGUGAAAGGCGCGGGCUCAACCCGCGGACGGCACAAGAUACUGCGAGACUAGAGUAAGGGAGGGGGAACCGGAAUUCGCGGUGUAGCAGUGAAAUGCGUAGAUAUCGAGAGGAACACUCGUGGCGAAGGCGGGUUCCUGGACAUUAACUGACGCUGAGGCACGAAGGCCAGGGGAGCGAAAGGGAUUAGAUACCCGAGUAGUC